GAUGAACGCUAGCUACAGGCUUAACACAUGCAAGUCGAGGGGUAACGAGAGGAAAGCUUGCUUUCCUUGUUGACGACCGGCGCACGGGUGAGUAACGCGUAUCCAACCUGCCCCCAACUAGGGAAUAACCUUGCGAAAGUAAGACUAAUACCCUAUAAUUUCCUCAGAUGUCAUCUGACGAGGAAUAAAGAUUUAUCGGUUGUGGAUGGGGAUGCGUCUGAUUAGCUUGUUGGCGGGGUAACGGCCCACCAAGGCAACGAUCAGUAGGGGUUCUGGGAGGAAGGUCCCCCACAUUGGAACUGAGACACGGUCCAAACACCUACGGGAGGCAGCAGUGGGGAGUAUUGGUCAAUGGGCGGAAGCCUGAACCAGCCAAGUAGCGUGCAGGAUGACGGCCCUAUGGGUUGUAAACUGCUUUUAUACAGGAAUAAAGUUAGCCACGUGUGGUUAUUUGUAGGUACUGUAUGAAUAAGGACCGGCUAAUUCCGUGCCAGCCGCCGCAGUAA
RNAcentral lists this ribosomal RNA (506 nucleotides) under uncultured bacterium. RNAcentral's name for it is "partial 16S ribosomal RNA". It matches the Rfam family "Bacterial small subunit ribosomal RNA", at positions 28 to 523 of the family's 1533-position model. The record is from RNAcentral.